AAUCUUCCACAAUGGACGAAAGUCUGAUGGAGCAACGCCGCGUGAGUGAAGAAGGUUNNNGGAUCNUCAAGCUCUGUUGUAAGNGACNAACACGUACAGGAGUAACUGCCUGUACCUUGACGGUACCUUACCAGAAAGCCACGGCUAACUACGUGCCAGCAGCCGCGGUAAUACGUAGGUGGCAAGCGUUGUCCGGAAUUAUUGGGCGUAAAGCGCACGCAGGCGGUCCUUUAAGUCUGAUGUGAAAGCCCACGGCUCAACCGUGGAGGGUCAUUGGAAACUGGAGGACUUGAGUACAGAAGAGGAAAGCGGAAUUCCACGUGUAGCGGUGAAAUGCGUAGAGAUGUGGAGGAACACCAGUGGCGAAGGCGGCUUUCUGGUCUGUAACUGACGCUGAGGCGCGAAAGCGUGGGGAGCAAACA
This 422-nucleotide ribosomal RNA is filed under the name uncultured bacterium. RNAcentral describes it as "partial 16S ribosomal RNA". It matches the Rfam family "Bacterial small subunit ribosomal RNA", at positions 360 to 774 of the family's 1533-position model. The record is from RNAcentral.